Molecule: ribosomal RNA, 572 nt
Filed under: Moraxella catarrhalis
Lineage: Bacteria; Pseudomonadati; Pseudomonadota; Gammaproteobacteria; Moraxellales; Moraxellaceae
Description: bacterial SSU rRNA
Rfam family: Bacterial small subunit ribosomal RNA
Source: RNAcentral
GACCUACGGGUGAAAGGGGGCUUUUAGCUCUCGCUAUUAGAUGAGCCUAAGUCGGAUUAGCUGGUUGGUGGGGUAAAGGCCUACCAAGGCGACGAUCUGUAGCUGGUCUGAGAGGAUGAUCAGCCACACUGGGACUGAGACACGGCCCAGACUCCUACGGGAGGCAGCAGUGGGGAAUAUUGGACAAUGGGCGAAAGCCUGAUCCAGCCAUGCCGCGUGUGUGAAGAAGGCCUUUUGGUUGUAAAGCACUUUAAGUGGGGAGGAAAAGCUUAUGGUUAAUACCCAUAAGCCCUGACGUUACCCACAGAAUAAGCACCGGCUAACUCUGUGCCAGCAGCCGCGGUAAUACAGAGGGUGCAAGCGUUAAUCGGAAUUACUGGGCGUAAAGCGCGCGUAGGUGGUUAUUUAAGUCAGAUGUGAAAGCCCCGGGCUUAACCUGGGAACUGCAUCUGAUACUGGAUAACUAGAGUAGGUGAGAGGGGAGUAGAAUUCCAGGUGUAGCGGUGAAAUGCGUAGAGAUCUGGAGGAAUACCGAUGGCGAAGGCAGCUCCCUGGCAUCAUACUGACACUGA